ACUCCUACGGGAGGCAGCAGUAGGGAAUCUUCCACAAUGGACGAAAGUCUGAUGGAGCAACGCCGCGUGAGUGAAGAAGGGUUUCGGCUCGUAAAACUCUGUUGUUAAAGAAGAACAUAUCUGAGAGUAACUGUUCAGGUAUUGACGGUAUUUAACCAGAAAGCCACGGCUAACUACGUGCCAGCAGCCGCGGUGAUACGUAGGUGGCAAGCGUUGUCCGGAUUUAUUGGGCGUAAAGCGAGCGCAGGCGGUUUUUAAGUCUGAUGUGAAAGCCUUCGGCUCAACCGAAGAAGUGCAUCGGAAACUGGGAAACUUGAGUGCAGAAGAGGACAGUGGAACUCCAUGUGUAGCGGUGAAAUGCGUAGAUAUAUGGAAGAACACCAGUGGCGAAGGCGGCUGUCUGGUCUGUAACUGACGCUGAGGCUCGAAAGUAUGGGUAGCAAACAGGAUUAGAUACCCUGGUAGGAUAGCG
Molecule: ribosomal RNA, 472 nt
Filed under: uncultured bacterium
Lineage: Bacteria
Description: bacterial SSU rRNA
Rfam family: Bacterial small subunit ribosomal RNA
Source: RNAcentral